UACAGAGGGUCUCAAGCGUUGUUCGGAUUCAUUGGGCGUAAAGGGUGCGUAGGCGGCGCGGUAAGUCGGGUGUGAAAUCUCGGAGCUUAACUCCGAAACUGCAUUCGAUACUGCCGUGCUUGAGGACUGGAGAGGAGACUGGAAUUUACGGUGUAGCGGUGAAAUGCGUAGAUAUCGGGAGGAACACCGGUGGCGAAGGCGGCGACCUGGGUAGAUACUGACGCUGAGGUGCGAAAGGCGUGGGGAGCAAACAGG
This 255-nucleotide ribosomal RNA is filed under the name uncultured bacterium. RNAcentral describes it as "partial 16S ribosomal RNA". It matches the Rfam family "Bacterial small subunit ribosomal RNA", at positions 524 to 776 of the family's 1533-position model. The record is from RNAcentral.